RNAcentral lists this ribosomal RNA (162 nucleotides) under uncultured bacterium. RNAcentral describes it as "partial 16S rRNA". It matches the Rfam family "Bacterial small subunit ribosomal RNA", at positions 358 to 511 of the family's 1533-position model. The record is from RNAcentral.
GGAAUCUUCGGCAAUGGGGGCAACCCUGACCGAGCAACGCCGCGUGAGUGAAGAAGGUUUUCGGAUCGUAAAGCUCUGUUGUAAGAGAAGAACGUGUGUGAGAGUGGAAAGUUCACACAGUGACGGUAACUUACCAGAAAGGGACGGCUGACUACGUGUCAG